This 86-nucleotide transfer RNA is filed under the name Alphaproteobacteria bacterium. RNAcentral describes it as "tRNA-Tyr". It matches the Rfam family "tRNA". From Rfam's summary of the family: Transfer RNA (tRNA) molecules are approximately 80 nucleotides in length. Their secondary structure includes four short double-helical elements and three loops (D, anti-codon, and T loops). The record is from RNAcentral. Lineage: Bacteria; Pseudomonadati; Pseudomonadota; Alphaproteobacteria.
GGUGGGAUGGCCGAGUGGUUAAUGGCAGCAGACUGUAAAUCUGCCCUCUUAUGAGUACGUAGGUUCGAAUCCUACUCCCACCACCA